RNAcentral lists this unclassified non-coding RNA (316 nucleotides) under uncultured fungus. RNAcentral's name for it is "partial contains small subunit ribosomal RNA, internal transcribed spacer 1, and 5.8S ribosomal RNA". The stretch from base 1 to 73 matches the Rfam family "Eukaryotic small subunit ribosomal RNA", at positions 1759 to 1831 of the family's 1831-position model. The record is from RNAcentral. Lineage: Eukaryota; Fungi.
GCAAACUUGGUCAUUUAGAGGAAGUAAAAGUCGUAACAAGGUUUCCGUAGGUGAACCUGCGGAAGGAUCAUUAAUGAGUUAGGGUCUCUCUAGCCCGACCUCCCAACCCUAUGUUUACUCAACUAUUGUUGCUUUGGUGAGCCCGCCCAUUAGUGGCCGCCGGGGGACUAGUAUUGUUCCCUGGCCCGUGCUUACCAACAGCCUAAUUUUACCAAACUCUUCAAUUAAAACGUGUCUCUUCUAAGUAUCAAAUGUUAAUUAAAGCAAAACUUUCAACAACGGAUCUCUUGGUUCUGGCAUCGAUGAAGAACGCAGC